ACGACACCGUAUCUUGAUACCAAUAAAAAAAUUUAGGUGUUGGACUCCCCUUCGGCUUCACAUGGCCAGCCCUAAUUUCUUAAUCCAAACCUAAUCACACACAAAUACACAAUCACGCUGCCUACAAUAGAUUUGGUCAUCUGCUGUGCUGCUUGCCGACAACAAAUUGCUGCUCUUCGUCUUCGUCUUCGUCUUCGUCCUCAUCCCCGAUCUCUAGCUUGCUGGCUAUUCCCAUUUCCUUUUGUUUCGCAACUUAAUGGUUGUUGCCGGUAGCCUGCUACCUUCUUCAACUCCGAGCUAUAGCUAAUGCCUUCUUAAUUUAGAUUUUCUUCAAGUUCGAGUUGCUGCUACUGUAUUCUUUUGUGAGAGGUAAGCUGAUGGGUUCUUUCAUUUGUACACUAGGGUUUGGGGUUCUCUGAUCAGAAUAUAUCGGCUGGUCUGGUGAUUGCUCAACCGCCGUCGAUUUUUGAGGUGCCGCCCAGGUUGAGCCCCGCAAUUCUACUUGACUCGCUAAAUUUCAGUUUGUUUUCGCCUACACAGGUAAUUCAAUUUAACUUUGUCUGACCUAAAGUUUCUUCAUUUAUUCAUUAGAUUUUAGCUUGUUUAGGAAAGCUUUCAUUUUUAUUGGGUUUCGCAUUUAAAUUCUAAUAAUCCUUGGGUUUGAAUUUUGAUUUUUUUUUUUUUGGAGGGAUGGAAAAUUUUCUUCAUUGCCUUGAUUUGUUAGCAGUCGGUUGGAAUUUUGAAUUAGAGCUUGCUGAAGCAUUUAUUAUAGAAUUUAUAAAUGUGCCCUGUAAUUGGGAUAAAAACUCUUGACUUAAUUAAUCUGACAGAAGAACAUUUUGAGCAAUGUUGUAAUGUGAUUGUGCAUUGCUGAGAUAAUCUCAUCUUGUUUUGGUAUUCUAACCAAUAAAAAAAAAUUUAAGUGUUGGACUCCCCUUCGGCUUCACAUGGCAAGCCCUAAUUUCUUAAUCCAAACCUAAUCACACACAAAUACACAAUCACGCUGCCUACAAUAGAUUUGGUCAUCUGCUGUGCUGCUUGCCGACAACAAAUUGCUGCUCUUCGUCUUCGUCUUCGUCUUCGUCCUCAUCCCCGAUCUCUAGCUUGCUGGCUAUUCCCAUUUCCUUUUGUUUCGCAACUUAAUGGUUGUUGCCGGUAGCCUGCUACCUUCUUCAACUCCGAGCUAUAGCUAAUGCCUUCUUAAUUUAGAUUUUCUUCAAGUUCGAGUUGCUGCUACUGUAUUCUUUUGUGAGAGGUAAGCUGAUGGGUUCUUUCAUUUGUACACUAGGGUUUGGGGUUCUCUGAUCAGAAUAUAUCGGCUGGUCUGGUGAUUGCUCAACCGCCGUCGAUUUUUGAGGUGCCGCCCAGGUUGAGCCCCGCAAUUCUGCUUGACUCGCUAAAUUUCAGUUUGUUUUCGCCUACACAGGUAAUUCAAUUUAACUUUGUCUGACCUAAAGUUUCUUCAUUUAUUCAUUAGAUUUUAGCUUGUUUAGGAAAGCUUUCAUUUUUAUUGGGUUUCGCAUUUAAAUGCUAAUAAUCCUUGGGUUUGAAUUUUGAUUUUUUUUUUUUUGGAGGGAUGGAAAAUUUUCUUCAUUGCCUUGAUUUGUUAGCAGUCGGUUGGAAUUUUGAAUUAGAGCUUGCUGAAGCAUUUAUUAUAGAAUUUAUAAAUGUGCCCUGUAAUUGGGAUAAAAACUCUUGACUUAAUUAAUCUGACAGAAGAACAUUUUGAGCAAUGUUGUAAUGUGAUUGUGCAUUGCUGAGAUAAUCUCAUCUUGUUUUGGUAUUCUAAGUAUCCAAAUGGACUGGAUAGUAGGCUAUCCAGGUCAAGUUUUAAUGGUAAUUGGGCAUUUUUCUUUCCUGAUUUUAGUUUCAUCUCUUUUUAGAUGAAGCAUAUGGUUAAUGCAAACAAUUAACGAAAGAAAAGCUCUUGGUAUUACUAGUGUUGGAGAUCCAAUUGUCUUCAUGUAAACUGUGAACACUUUUAACUCCCAUAUCUAAGAUAUAGAGAUCUUUAUGUAGCUUUAAGCCAAAUAUGUGAGAAAUUCUCCAAUCUAGUCACAACUUUAUUAGCAACCAAGAAUGAAAGAGUAUUAGCUUCCAGUUAUAAUUUGAUGACCGGAGCUUGAAUGAGUGAGUGAUAACUUGUAUUGUCUAUAUUGCUUUGUAUGUCAUGCCUCACUGGCAUUAUGUUACUUGGGUAUCCAAAUUUUGCGUUUAUCUAUUACUAAUUUCCCUGAUUCAUUGGAUGCAACCUAGGGAGCCUUUAGAAUGAAGCACUAGCAGGCCCUAGCACAGGUCACUGCCCAAGCUG
This 2311-nucleotide long non-coding RNA is filed under the name Citrus sinensis (sweet orange). Its description in RNAcentral is "long non-coding RNA (CSIN_LNC002173)". Lineage: Eukaryota; Viridiplantae; Streptophyta; Magnoliopsida; Sapindales; Rutaceae. The record is from RNAcentral.